GUGGGAGGGGGCUUGCCCCCGAUUGAUGUCUAUCAGCUACAAGGAUGUUGGCUGAGAGUCUGCAAUCGGGGGCAAGCCCCCUCCCAC
Molecule: unclassified non-coding RNA, 87 nt
Filed under: Pseudomonas extremorientalis
Lineage: Bacteria; Pseudomonadati; Pseudomonadota; Gammaproteobacteria; Pseudomonadales; Pseudomonadaceae
Source: RNAcentral